This 497-nucleotide ribosomal RNA is filed under the name uncultured bacterium. RNAcentral describes it as "partial 16S ribosomal RNA". It matches the Rfam family "Bacterial small subunit ribosomal RNA", at positions 28 to 507 of the family's 1533-position model. The record is from RNAcentral.
GACGAACGCUGGCGGCGCGCCUAAUACAUGCAAGUUGAGCGCUGAAGGUUGGUACUUGUACCAACUGGAUGAGCAGCGAACGGGUGAGUAACGCGUGGGGAAUCUGCCUUUGAGCGGGGGACAACAUUUGGAAACGAAUGCUAAUACCGCAUAAAAACUUUAAACACAAGUUUUAAGUUUGAAAGAUGCAAUUGCAUCACUCAAAGAUGAUCCCGCGUUGUAUUAGCUAGUUGGUGAGGUAAAGGCUCACCAAGGCGAUGAUACAUAGCCGACCUGAGAGGGUGAUCGGCCACAUUGGGACUGAGACACGGCCCAAACUCCUACGGGAGGCAGCAGUAGGGAAUCUUCGGCAAUGGACGAAAGUCUGACCGAGCAACGCCGCGUGAGUGAAGAAGGUUUUCGGAUCGUAAAACUCCGUUGGUAGAGAAGAACGUUGGUGAGAGUGGAAAGCUCAUCAAGUGACGGUAACUACCCAGAAAGGGACGGCUAACUACGUG